RNAcentral lists this small nuclear RNA (100 nucleotides) under Myotis brandtii (Brandt's bat). The record is from RNAcentral. Lineage: Eukaryota; Metazoa; Chordata; Mammalia; Chiroptera; Vespertilionidae.
GCGCUUUAGAAGCACAUAUACUAAAAUUGGAAUGAUAGAAAAGACUAGCAUGGUCCCUUACAAGGAUGGCACACAAAUUCAUGAAGCAUUCUGUGCUGAG